GACGAACGCUGGCGGCGUGCUUAACACAUGCAAGUCGAACGGAAAGGCCCCUUUGGUGGUCCUCGAGUGGCGAACGGGUGAGUAACACGUGAGUAACCUGCCCUUGACUUCGGGAUAACUUCAGGAAACUGGGGCUAAUACCGGAUAGGAAUCCUUGCUGCAUGGUGGGGGUUGGAAAGCUUCGGCGGGUUUGGAUGUACUCGCGGCGUAUCUGCUUGGUGGUGGGGUAGUGGCUUACCAAGGCUUUGACGGGUAGCCGGCCUGAGAGGGCGACCGGCGACAUUGGGACUGAGAGACGGCCCAGACUCCUACGGGAGGCAGCAGUGGGGAAUAUUGCACAAUGGGCGGAGGCCUGAUGCAGCAACGCCGCGUGCGGGAUGACGGCCUUCGGGUUGUAAACCGCUUUCAGCAGGGGCGAAGCUUGUGGUGACGGUACCUGCAGAAGAAGCACCGGCUAACUACGUG
Molecule: ribosomal RNA, 465 nt
Filed under: uncultured bacterium
Lineage: Bacteria
Description: partial 16S ribosomal RNA
Rfam family: Bacterial small subunit ribosomal RNA
Source: RNAcentral